GACUGACCGACGGCAACCCUCCUCUCUCACCCGCUUCAAAACGUCCUCUUCGUCUCCUAUCAAAUUUUGAUAAGUGACCACCAGUUGACGGCGUCUACCGGUCACUCUCUUAUCGUUUAUUUUUUUUUCUCAUUCCUAUCUC
Non-coding RNA from Caenorhabditis elegans, 142 nucleotides. NCBI's taxonomy places the organism in Eukaryota, Metazoa, Nematoda, Chromadorea, Rhabditida, Rhabditidae. The record is from Ensembl.